CCUACGGGGGGCAGCAGUCGAGAAUCAUUCACAAUGGGGGAAACCCUGAUGGUGCGACGCCGCGUGGGGGAAUGAAGGUCUUCGGAUUGUAAACCCCUGUCAUGUGGGAGCAAAUUAAAAAGAUAGUACCACAAGAGGAAGAGACGGCUAACUCUGUGCCAGCAGCCGCGGUAAUACAGAGGUCUCAAGCGUUGUUCGGAAUCACUGGGCGUAAAGCGUGCGUAGGCUGUUCCGUAAGUCGUGUGUGAAAGGCGCGGGCUCAACCCGCGGACGGCACAUGAUACUGCGAGACUAGAGUAAAGGAGGGGGAACAGGAAUUCUGGGUGUAGCAGGGAAAUGCGGAGAUA
This 347-nucleotide ribosomal RNA is filed under the name uncultured bacterium. Its description in RNAcentral is "partial 16S ribosomal RNA". It matches the Rfam family "Bacterial small subunit ribosomal RNA", at positions 338 to 696 of the family's 1533-position model. The record is from RNAcentral.